RNAcentral lists this long non-coding RNA (2568 nucleotides) under Taeniopygia guttata (zebra finch). Its description in RNAcentral is "lncRNA (ENSTGUG00000029243.1)". Lineage: Eukaryota; Metazoa; Chordata; Aves; Passeriformes; Estrildidae. The record is from RNAcentral.
AUGACUGCAGUAUACGCACUCAAAUGUGCUUUGCCACUACAUAAUAUAGGAUUCAAGAAGGGGCAUUUGAUGUCUGCAGUGCAUUUAAAAGUGGAAAUCCACCUAUUGAGAGCUGGGCUGUACACUUUGACAUGUCUCUUUGUCUCCUGGGCUCAAGCCUGGUUUCUAGUGGUGGUACCUGACCUACUUGUAAGUUCCAUGAUAAAAUUGAGAUGUCAGGCUGCCUAUUUUGUUAGAAAAUUAAAAUCUACUGUGCUUCAUAGAACUGAAGAUCAACUCCUUUUGGAACGGACUGCCAUGUUAUUCUUCAUUUUGAUUUAUUAUCUAUAGACUCAAUACCCUUAAGACUUCACUGUUAAGAUCCCAUUGCAGUUUUAGCUUGAAAUGCAUUUUGAAAUUUAUCUCUUACUUGGCUUCUGUUAAAGCACAAAAAUAUGCACUAUGAGUUAAAUGUUGCUUUUGACUGGGGUCUGGUGUAAUCAGCUUACCCACAGGAUGAAGAAAGAAGUGUUGCAAAGUUUCUGUGAUGCUGGAGAUAGUAUCGUAGUGGUGCCACAGCAGCCCAGGUUGGAAUAACUCUCUCCCCUAACUGGUUACUCCUGAGGACUUGUUUUGUAGCAGAGUCCUUCUUAUUCAAGCUGUCAAUGGAAUGAGCACACUGAAGACUUCAUGUGCUCUCUUGCAUGAACAAAUGCCAGUGCGCAAAGGGAUCCUGCAAAUUCUGCUCUGGAUGGAAUGACAGACACCUGCCACAGGGAUGUUGAUAUCCCGAGGUCAGAAUAAUAUCUGGCUUCUUCUUUGGUUUAUUUUUGGGUUAAUUGUUUGUUUAAUAGUAGAAAUCUUACCAUACCAGGAAAAAAAUCUAAAUAUUCAGGGUCUAACUUUGUAUAGCUUUACUCUUGCUUUCUUUUAAUUUAUUCAGUGUUCAAGUAAUUGUUACAAUCUUCAUAUUCUUUGGGUCAUUGCAAGGCUGUUCUUUUUUUCUUAUUUUUUGUAGUUUACUUAUUUAGUUAAUUUCUCUUUUUUAUUCAAUUGACAAUGUUGCUGAUUUAAUAAUUAAGCAAUAUUUUACUUUCUUUUUCUUUCUUUCUUUCUUUCUUUUUUUCUUUCUUUCUUUUAUUCUUUCUUUCUUUCUUUCUUUCUUUCUUUCUUUCUUUCUUUCUUUCUUUCUUUCUUUCUUUCUUUCUUUCAGUAGUUCAGGUCCUUAAUCUUCAAAGAAUUUUUUUCUCCAGUCUUCCUACCAUUCUCUUUUGAAUGUUUGACCACUAGCUGAUUAUUCAUUUAUUUUAUUUUAACCUGAGAAAGAAAAAUAUAGUUUCCUGCAGUUUUCACUCUCUUGUUGGUCUGAGUUAAAAAAGGAGUGGUCAUUAAGGUUAAAUUUAUGUCAAGGAAAAGUCAGCUACACUAUAUAUAGCAGUCAUGUUAGAAAAGCACUGUUAUGCAAUUAUGACUGCAAAAAAAGCUCUUUCAGGGAUGGAAAUAUAUAUAUAUGUCCAAAGAAAAUGUCCUUGACUAAGAUAGUUUGAAUGGUACUUGAUCUUACCUUCUAUUACCACAACUUCCUUUCAACUUAUAGAAUACAUUAUAUUAAUGUUUACAAAGCAAAAGCUGUAUCUAUUAUAGUAAAUAAUUAAGUAUGGUGUCACUAUGGACUCAUGAAAUACCAUAUAAGUCAAUGAAAGCGUGUUGAAACAGAGGGGUAUGUAGUACAUGUGAUGUACCGUCUAUUGCAAUGAUAAUUUGUUCACUGAAAUAUUUUUAAAUGUGUGGAUUUAAAAUUAUAAAGUAAGUCCUUUUUUUACAUUUUGCUUUGAAUUUUUAUGGUGAAUUUUAUUGAAACAUAUUUUUUUAAAUCAGUCAUUUUAGUAUUCAUUUUUUUCAAAUUAUAAUCUUUUACCACUUAAUAAUAGAGGAGCAGAAGCUUUUUAAGCACAUAACAACUGUGACAAUUUGAUGGAAUUCAUUUUAUGUAAUAAUUUUAUCAAAUAAUUUAUUUCUUUAAAAAAAUACCAUUUAUUAAAACAUUAUCCACAAUUUAGGUAAAAUGGUAAAGCAAAUGUCAUUUUCAAACACACGACCCACCUUUGCUGACAGCGCAGCACAAUCACAACAUAUUAUAGGAAGUGUUGGCAUGCUUUGGAACACUGGAUGACUCUAUCAAUAGACUAAUAAGCUUACAGAUGAGUGCCCAGCAUUUUUUAGCUACUCUUUAUUCACUUCUCCCUGUGCAUCUGCAUUGGUUUUAAUGAGUUUUCAUGUGUUUAACUCAAGACAGGAUAAGAUUUUCAGCACCUGAGUCAUGAAGACACACUUGUGGCAUAGAUUAAAGCAUUCAUAGACUCACAAAAAGAAAAUUUUGGUCACUUUGAAUAUCUUCAGGACUGAUGUCCCAGGGAAACUGUAAUUCUGGAGACAGGGUCUGACAUACACAAACAUAAAAGCAAACUCAGCAUGGAUACUUUUAGGAGAAAUCAGGGCAAAUAAUUAGAGACAUUCCUUCAGAUCUUCAGAUGAAGAAUGGAAUUUAAAUUCCUUAAAUUCAAGCUCUUCUGUGGAUAAGCAAAAGAU